RNAcentral lists this ribosomal RNA (393 nucleotides) under uncultured Pseudomonas sp. RNAcentral describes it as "bacterial SSU rRNA". It matches the Rfam family "Bacterial small subunit ribosomal RNA", at positions 19 to 414 of the family's 1533-position model. Lineage: Bacteria; Pseudomonadati; Pseudomonadota; Gammaproteobacteria; Pseudomonadales; Pseudomonadaceae. The record is from RNAcentral.
AUGGCUCAGAUUGAACGCUGGCGGCAGGCCUAACACAUGCAAGUCGAGCGGUAGAGAGAAGCUUGCUUCUCUUGAGAGCGGCGGACGGGUGAGUAAUGCCUAGGAAUCUGCCUGGUAGUGGGGGAUAACGUUCGGAAACGGACGCUAAUACCGCAUACGUCCUACGGGAGAAAGCAGGGGACCUUCGGGCCUUGCGCUAUCAGAUGAGCCUAGGUCGGAUUAGCUAGUUGGUGAGGUAAUGGCUCACCAAGGCGACGAUCCGUAACUGGUCUGAGAGGAUGAUCAGUCACACUGGAACUGAGACACGGUCCAGACUCCUACGGGAGGCAGCAGUGGGGAAUAUUGGACAAUGGGCGAAAGCCUGAUCCAGCCAUGCCGCGUGUGUGAAGAAGG